Molecule: non-coding RNA, 172 nt
Organism: Pelobates cultripes (western spadefoot toad)
Lineage: Eukaryota; Metazoa; Chordata; Amphibia; Anura; Pelobatidae
Source: the annotation of a GenBank genome assembly
AAUAAGGAAAGAGUGGGGAAAGGGGGGGGGCAGUGGACUUUGCAAUGAAUUAGUAAAUAUGAUGUAGGUUAAAAAUGUUUUAAAAAAUAGUCUAAAAUCAUGUACAGCACUGACAGAUGAUUAAGAUUUAACCUUUUGCUCUGCCCCCCCCCCCCCCCCCCCCUUCUGCUCU